Molecule: unclassified non-coding RNA, 229 nt
Filed under: rhizosphere metagenome
Description: partial ribosomal RNA internal transcribed spacer region
Source: RNAcentral
GUAGGUGAACCUGCGGAAGGAUCAUUACAGUAGUCACCCAGGUUGCCGCAAGGCCUCCUGGGUAACCUACCACCCUUUGUUUAUUACACCUUGUUGCUUUGGCAAGCCUGCCCUCGGGCUGCUGGCUCCGGCCGGCGAGCGCUUGCCAGAGGACCUAAACUCUGUUUGUCUAUACUGUCUGAGUACUAUAUAAUAGUUAAAACUUUCAACAACGGAUCACUCGGCUCUG